RNAcentral lists this ribosomal RNA (497 nucleotides) under uncultured bacterium. RNAcentral's name for it is "partial 16S ribosomal RNA". It matches the Rfam family "Bacterial small subunit ribosomal RNA", at positions 28 to 507 of the family's 1533-position model. The record is from RNAcentral.
GAUGAACGCUGGCGGCGUGCCUAAUACAUGCCAGUCGAGCGAACGGACGAGAAGCUUGCUUCUCUGAUGUUAGCGGCGGACGGGUGAGUAACACGUGGAUAACCUACCUAUAAGACUGGGAUAACUUCGGGAAACCGGAGCUAAUACCGGAUGAUAUUUUGAACCGCAUGGUUCAAAAGUGAAAGACGGUCUUGCUGUCACUUAUAGAUGGAUCCGCGCUGCAUUAGCUAGUUGGUAAGGUAACGGCUUACCAAGGCAACGAUGCAUAGCCGACCUGAGAGGGUGAUCGGCCACACUGGAACUGAGACGCGGUCCAGACUCCUACGGGAGGCAGCAGUAGGGAAUCUUCCGCAGUGGGCGAAAGCCUGACGGAGCAACGCCGCGUGAGUGAUGAAGGUCUUCGGAUCGUAAAACUCUGUUAUUAGGGAAGAACAUAUGUGUAAGUAACUGUGCACAUCUUGACGGUACCUAAUCAGAAAGCCACGGCUAACUACGUG